GACGAACGCUGGCGGCGUGCUUAACACAUGCAAGUCGAACGGAAAGGCCCUGCUUUUGUGGGGUGCUCGAGUGGCGAACGGGUGAGUAACACGUGAGUAACCUGCCCUUGACUUUGGGAUAACGUCAGGAAACUGGGGCUAAUACCGGAUAGGAGCUCCUGCUGCAUGGUGGGGGUUGGAAAGUUUCGGCGGUUGGGGAUGGACUCGCGGCUUAUCAGCUUGUUGGGGGGGUAGUGGCUUACCAAGGGUUUGCAGGGUAGCCGGCCUGUGAGGGUGACCGGCCACAAUGGGACUGAGAUACGGCCCAGAGUCCUACGGGGGGCAGCAGUCGGAAAUAUGGCACAAUGGGCGGAAGCCUGAGGAAGAAGCGCUGCGUGCGGAAAGACCGCCUUCGGGGUGGGAACCGAUUUCGCCUGUGACGAAGCGUGAGUGACGGUAAUCGGUAAAGAAGCACCGGCUAACUACGUG
This 468-nucleotide ribosomal RNA is filed under the name uncultured bacterium. Its description in RNAcentral is "partial 16S ribosomal RNA". It matches the Rfam family "Bacterial small subunit ribosomal RNA", at positions 28 to 507 of the family's 1533-position model. The record is from RNAcentral.